CAGUGGCGUAUGCUAAUGUUGUUGCAGUUAAAAAGCUCGUAGUUGGAGUUGAACCAAUCCCUUUUGGGAGCGGUUUUUUUUCUGAUCCGUCAAAAGGUCAGAUCUUUCACCUUGAAAAAAUUAGAGUGUUCAAAGCAGGUUUAUUGCCUUCUGAAUAUAUUAGCAUGGGAUGAUAAGAUACGACUCACGCUAUCUUGUUUGGUAUGAAGAGUGAGUAAUGAUUGAUAGGGACGGUUGGGGGUGCCAGUACUGACUGGAUAGCGGUGAAAUGCGGACCCGUCAUUGACUAACUAAUGCGAAAGCAUCCACCAAGGACGUCUUCUUUAA
This 327-nucleotide ribosomal RNA is filed under the name uncultured eukaryote. RNAcentral's name for it is "partial 18S ribosomal RNA". It matches the Rfam family "Eukaryotic small subunit ribosomal RNA", at positions 592 to 976 of the family's 1831-position model. The record is from RNAcentral.